This 519-nucleotide ribosomal RNA is filed under the name Phomopsis sp. D8. RNAcentral describes it as "eukaryotic LSU rRNA". The stretch from base 153 to 306 matches the Rfam family "5.8S ribosomal RNA". Lineage: Eukaryota; Fungi; Ascomycota; Sordariomycetes; Diaporthales; Diaporthaceae. The record is from RNAcentral.
AACCCUUUGUGAACUUAUACCUUAUUGUUGCCUCGGCGAAGGCUGGCCCUCCGGGGCCCCUCACCCCCACGGGUGUUGAGACAGCCCGCCGGCGGCCAAGUUAACUCUUGUUUUUACACUGGAACUCUGAGCACAAAACAUAAAUGAAUCAAAACUUUCAACAACGGAUCUCUUGGUUCUGGCAUCGAUGAAGAACGCAGCGAAAUGCGAUAAGUAAUGUGAAUUGCAGAAUUCAGUGAAUCAUCGAAUCUUUGAACGCACAUUGCGCCCUCUGGUAUUCCGGAGGGCAUGCCUGUUCGAGCGUCAUUUCAACCCUCAAGCCUGGCUUGGUGAUGGGGCACUGCUUUUACCCAAAAGCAGGCCCUGAAAUUCAGUGGCGAGCUCGCCAGGACCCCGAGCGCAGUAGUUAAACCCUCGCUCUGGAAGGCCCUGGCGGUGCCCUGCCGUUAAACCCCCAACUUUUGAAAAUUUGACCUCGGAUCAGGUAGGAAUACCCGCUGAACUUAAGCAUAUCAUAAG